This 374-nucleotide RNase P RNA is filed under the name Rhizobacter sp. RNAcentral describes it as "Bacterial RNase P class A". It matches the Rfam family "Bacterial RNase P class A". Rfam says of the family: Ribonuclease P (RNase P) is a ubiquitous endoribonuclease, found in archaea, bacteria and eukarya as well as chloroplasts and mitochondria. Its best characterised activity is the generation of mature 5'-ends of tRNAs by cleaving the 5'-leader elements of precursor-tRNAs. Cellular RNase Ps are ribonucleoproteins. The record is from Rfam by way of RNAcentral. Lineage: Bacteria; Pseudomonadati; Pseudomonadota; Betaproteobacteria; Burkholderiales; Sphaerotilaceae. RNAcentral also lists the same sequence under 1 other name.
GAAGCAGGCCAGACCGCCGCUGGUGCAAGGUCACGAAAGAGCGCACUGGAGGAAGGUCCGGACUGCACAAGGCAGCGCAGCAGUUAACGACUGUCCACCGCGAGGUGAGGAUCAGAGCAACAGAGACGAGUCAGUGCAGGGCGAAAGUCCCGCAUUGGGUGAAACGGGCAAUCUCUGCGCGCAGCAACACCAAAUAGGCCAGCGUGAACGGCGCGGCAGCGUCCGCGUCGUUUGAGGUGCAGCUCCGCACCAGCUGGCGGGUAGGUGGCACCGAGCCGUGCAGCGAUGCACGGCCCAGAGGAAUGGCGGUCACGUUGAUGGCUUCGCAAGAAGGCGUCAAUGCACAGAAUCCGGCCUAUCGGCUUGCUUCACAC